CGAACGGGUGAGUAAUGCAUCGGAACGUGUCCGUGUCGUGGGGGAUAGCCCGGCGAAAGCCGGAUUAAUACCGCAUACGCCCGAGAGGGGAAAGUGGGGGACCGCAAGGCCUCACGCGAUUGGUUCGGCCGAUGUCCGAUUAGCUAGUUGGCGGGGUAAAGGCCCACCAAGGCGAUGAUCGGUAGCUGGUCUGAGAGGAUGAUCAGCCACACUGGGACUGAGACACGGCCCAG
This 233-nucleotide ribosomal RNA is filed under the name uncultured bacterium. RNAcentral describes it as "partial 16S ribosomal RNA". It matches the Rfam family "Bacterial small subunit ribosomal RNA", at positions 99 to 334 of the family's 1533-position model. The record is from RNAcentral.